Molecule: ribosomal RNA, 468 nt
Filed under: uncultured bacterium
Lineage: Bacteria
Description: partial 16S ribosomal RNA
Rfam family: Bacterial small subunit ribosomal RNA
Source: RNAcentral
GACGAACGCUGGCGGCGUGCUUAACACAUGCAAGUCGAACGGAAAGGCCCUGCUCUUGUGGGGUGCUCGUGUGGCGAACGGGUGAGUAAAACGUGAGUAACCUGCCCUUGACUUUGGGAUAACUUCAGGAAACUGGGGCUAUUACAGGAUAGGAGAUACUGCUGCAUGGUGGGGGUUGGUAAGUUUCGGCGGUUGUGGAUGGACUGGCGGCUUAUCCGCUUGUUGGUGGGGUAGUGGCUUACCAAGGCUUUGACGGGUAGCCGGCCUGAGAGGGGGGCCGGCGACAUGGGGACUGAGAGACGGCCCAGACGGCUACGUGAGGCAGCAGGGGGGAAUAUUGCAGAAUGAGCGGAAGCGUGAGGCAGCAACGCCGCGUGCGGGAUAACGGCCUUCGGGUGGUAAACCGCUGUCGCCGGUGACGAAGCGUGAGUGACGGUAAUGGGUAAGGAAGCACCGGCUAACUACGUG